GAAACAGCUCUGUACAAUUCAGAACGAUGAAACAUUGUGCAGAG
This 44-nucleotide non-coding RNA is filed under the name Anaerostipes rhamnosivorans. RNAcentral's name for it is "uup RNA". It matches the Rfam family "uup RNA". Lineage: Bacteria; Bacillati; Bacillota; Clostridia; Lachnospirales; Lachnospiraceae. The record is from RNAcentral.